CCCUUAGAUGUCCUGGGCCGCACGCGUGUUACACUGACGCCUACAGCGAGUACUUCCCAGCCCCGAGAGGUGGCUGGUAAUCAGCAAUAGGCGUCGUGAUGGGGAUAGAUCUUUGGAAUUAUGGAUCUUGAACGAGGAAUGCCUAGUAAGCGCAGGUCAUUAGCCUGCGCUGAUUAAGUCCCUGCCCUUUGUACACACCGCCCGUCGCUCCUACCGAUUUCGAGUGGUCCGGUGAAUCUUUCGGACUGCGCGCGGCCUCGUGCCGUGUCGCGGAAAGUCAGGUAAACCUUAUCACUUAGAGGAAGGAGAAGUCGUAACA
This 319-nucleotide ribosomal RNA is filed under the name uncultured eukaryote. Its description in RNAcentral is "partial 18S ribosomal RNA". It matches the Rfam family "Eukaryotic small subunit ribosomal RNA", at positions 1470 to 1796 of the family's 1831-position model. The record is from RNAcentral.